RNAcentral lists this ribosomal RNA (1323 nucleotides) under metagenome. Its description in RNAcentral is "bacterial SSU rRNA". It matches the Rfam family "Bacterial small subunit ribosomal RNA", at positions 1 to 1325 of the family's 1533-position model. The record is from RNAcentral.
UGAGUUUGAUCCUGGCUCGGAUUGAACGCUGGCGGCAUGCUUUACACAUGCAAGUCGAACGGUAACGCGGGGUCAACCCUGGCGACGAGUGGCGAGCGGGUGAGUAAUACAUCGGAACGUGUCCUGAAGUGGGGGAUAACCUAUCGAAAGGUAGGCUAAUACCGCAUACGCUCGGGAGAGGAAAGCGGGGGAUCGCAAGACCUCGCGCUGUAGGAGCGGCCGAUGUCCGAUUAGCUAGUUGGUGGGGUAAAGGCUUACCAAGGCGACGAUCGGUAGCUGGUCUGAGAGGAUGAUCAGCCACACUGGGACUGAGACACGGCCCAGACUCCUACGGGAGGCAGCAGUGGGGAAUUUUGGACAAUGGGGGCAACCCUGAUCCAGCCAUGCCGCGUGAGUGAAGAAGGCCUUCGGGUUGUAAAGCUCUUUCGGUGGGAACGAAACGGUUACCACUAACACUGGUGACUACUGACGGUACCCACAGAAGAAGCACCGGCUAACUACGUGCCAGCAGUCGCGGUAAUACGUAGGGUGCGAGCGUUAAUCGGAAUUACUGGGCGUAAAGCGUGCGCAGGCGGUGGCUCAAGCCAGGCGUGAAAUCCCCGGGCUUAACCUGGGAAUGGCGUUUGGGACUGGGUCGCUAGAGUGUGGCAGAGGGAGGUGGAAUUCCACGUGUAGCAGUGAAAUGCGUAGAGAUGUGGAGGAACACCGAUGGCGAAGGCAGCCUCCUGGGCCAGCACUGACGCUCAUGCACGAAAGCGUGGGGAGCAAACAGGAUUAGAUACCCUGGUAGUCCACGCCCUAAACGAUGUCAACUGGUUGUUGGGGAAGGAAACUUCCUUAGUAACGAAGCUAACGCGUGAAGUUGACCGCCUGGGGAGUACGGCCGCAAGGUUAAAACUCAAAGGAAUUGACGGGGACCCGCACAAGCGGUGGAUGAUGUGGAUUAAUUCGAUGCAACGCGAAAAACCUUACCUACCCUUGACAUGCCAGGAUGCCCGAUGAGAGUUGGGUGUGCCCGAAAGGGAGCCUGGACACAGGUGCUGCAUGGCUGUCGUCAGCUCGUGUCGUGAGAUGUUGGGUUAAGUCCCGCAACGAGCGCAACCCUUGUCACUAAUUGCCAGCAUUGAGUUGGGCACUUUAGUGAGACUGCCGGUGACAAACCGGAGGAAGGUGGGGAUGACGUCAAGUCCUCAUGGCCCUUAUGGGUAGGGCUUCACACGUCAUACAAUGGCGCAUACAGAGGGUUGCCAACCCGCAAGGGGGAGCCAAUCCCAGAAAGUGCGUCGUAGUCCGGAUUGGAGUCUGCAACUCGACUCCAUGGAG